AAAAAAGAGAUGUCUUUCUAUGGUCUGUUAGCCAUUUCAGAACUUGUCCAGUGAAAUGGUCAGUUCAUUAGAAAGAAACAGCU
Molecule: small nucleolar RNA, 83 nt
Organism: Cavia aperea (Brazilian guinea pig)
Lineage: Eukaryota; Metazoa; Chordata; Mammalia; Rodentia; Caviidae
Source: Ensembl